Molecule: ribosomal RNA, 301 nt
Filed under: uncultured bacterium
Lineage: Bacteria
Description: partial 16S ribosomal RNA
Rfam family: Bacterial small subunit ribosomal RNA
Source: RNAcentral
CAGUCGCCGCGGGAAUACAGAGGGUGCGAGCGUUAAUCGGAUUUACUGGGCGUAAAGCGUGCGUAGGCGGCUAAUUGAGUCGGAUGUGAAAUCCCCGAGCUUAACUUGGGAAUUGCAUUCGAUACUGGUUAGCUAGAGUGUGGGAGAGGAUGGUAGAAUUCCAGGUGUAGCGGUGAAAUGCGUAGAGAUCUGGAGGAAUACCGAUGGCGAAGGCAGCCAUCUGGCCUAACACUGACGCUGAGGUACGAAAGCAUGGGGAGCAAACAGGAUUAGAUACCCGGGUAGUCCCUGUCUCUUAUAA